Molecule: ribosomal RNA, 388 nt
Filed under: Babesia canis canis
Lineage: Eukaryota; Apicomplexa; Aconoidasida; Piroplasmida; Babesiidae
Description: SSU rRNA
Rfam family: Eukaryotic small subunit ribosomal RNA
Source: RNAcentral
GGAGCCUGAGAGACGGCUACCACAUCUAAGGAAGGCAGCAGGCGAGCUAAUUACCCAAUCCUGACACAGGGAGGUAGUGACAAGAAAUAACAAUACAGGGCGAAUGUCUUGUAAUUGGAAUGAUGGUGACCCAAACCCUCACCAGAGUAGCAAUUGGAGGGCAAGUCUGGUGCCAGCAGCCGCGGUAAUUCCAGCUCCAAUAGCGUAUAUUAAACUUGUUGCAGUUAAAAAGCUCGUAGUUGUAUUUUUGCGUUGACGGUUUGACCAUUUGGUUGGUUAUUUCGUUUUCGCUUUUGGGAAUUUCCCUUUUUACUUUGAGAAAAUUAGAGUGUUUCAAGCAGACUUUUGUCUUGAAUACUUCAGCAUGGAAUAAUAGAGUAGGACCUGG